This 279-nucleotide unclassified non-coding RNA is filed under the name Hevea brasiliensis (rubber tree). Lineage: Eukaryota; Viridiplantae; Streptophyta; Magnoliopsida; Malpighiales; Euphorbiaceae. The record is from RNAcentral.
GCUGGAUCUAUCACUAGUUGCCACAAACUUACUUUUAAACCAAACAAUGAGAAAAUGUGGGCUUAUUGUAGAUGGUAAACAAAGAAUUGAUCUUUGGCAAAAGAAAUUUGUCAUCCCUUAAGAAAUUGUUUAAAGGCUUAUAGUCAGUGAUGAGCCUUUUAUUUACCCGAAGUUUUUCUGAUCUUUUUUCCACAUAAAUUGCUUGACAUGCCCAAUCAAAAUUGGUUAACUCUAUAAGGCCUUAUUGUAGUAACUGUUGACAUUCCUUUUGAGUAAGGA